GAGAUCUCGAAGCAGUUCGGAGAAUUCAGAUUAUCGUUUCAAUUUGUACUUUUUAGUUACUUCUGUCCAAUAGAGCUUAGAAAUAUGAAUUUCUUGGUUGAUUGUAUCCUUAACCAUUUCUUUUUUUUGACACGAGGAACUCAUCAUGAAUCCACUAAUUGCUGCUGCUUCCGUUAUUGCUGCUGGAUUGGCCGUAGGUCUUGCUUCUAUUGGGCCUGGAGUUGGUCAAGGUACUGCUGCAGGACAAGCUGUAGAAGGUAUUGCGAGACAGCCAGAAGCAGAAGGUAAAAUACGCGGUACUUUAUUGCUUAGUCUAGCUUUUAUGGAAGCUUUAACAAUUUAUGGACUAGUUGUGGCACUGGCGCUUUUAUUUGCGAACCCUUUUGUUUAAUCCUAAAAAAGAAAACGAGUCCUUUAGAUUAGAUACUUUCUUCUUUUUUUAGUAAAUUGGUAUUUGCUUCUGCAAUUCCAAUUAUAUCAAUACUUUACUCCUAAUUUAUUACUCCUAGAGUUUUCUAUUUAUGGGGACAGACAAUACCCCACCCCAGGAAUAGCUGAUUUGAGGAUGAUCAAUUUAGAGGAUAUGUUCGCCGUCUUGCUUCCCGCCCUUUGUUUAGGGCAGUGGAAAGUAUUUUUCCUUUUAUUUUAGGAAUUUUGGGAACAUUUCAACAAAGGAGGUCUUUCACAGGUCAAACGAGAUCUAAGACUUAAUCUAAAAGAAAUUACUAAAUUGAAUCUAUUUCUAUUAAAAAAAAUUGCAUUAAAAAAACCGAUCAAAAAGGGCGAGCGAAGUAAGUGAUCGAAAAACUUUGUUCUUUGUUCGUCCUAUCUAUAAGAGGAGAGCAUAUGAAAAAUGUAACCCAUUCUUUCGUUUUUUUAGCUCACUGGCCAUCCGCUGGGAGUUUCGGGCUUAAUACCGAUAUUUUAGCAACAAAUCUAAUAAAUCUAACUGUAGUGGUUGGUGUAUUGAUUUAUUUUGGAAAGGGAGUGUGUGCGAGUUGUCUAUUUCAAGAAUAGAUUGGAUCUAUCCGGCUGCACUUUAGAAUAUUUUUUAGUAUUUUUCGAAUAAAUAAGAAAAGGGUGCACGAUCUCGACGAAUUACUUCUGAAUAAAUGCAGAAAUCAUAUGAAAGAACCAUAGCAUUUCGCGACCUAUUGGUAAAUCAAAUCAACUUUGAUUCUCUAUAGACCAAUAAUAUGAGACCAUUAACACGGUUAAAGCUAAACUGCUUGAAGUCUAGGCAAAAGGGGGUACUCUUUCUACAACUAUAUUAGUAUUAGUACCAAAUGCUUUAAACAGGAAAUAGCUAAUGUAGAAUUUAUCUGAUAUAGAACACUCAUAUCGAUAAAAUGGUUUGAACUAUUUACUAGAAGGGGCACCCUGCCCUUUUUUAUCCAAUGCCGAAUCGACGACCUAUGUAUAAAAAAGGAGAAAGUUUUUGGAUUUGAAGAAAAAAGUAGGAAUUCUAUCCAUUUUCAUUUUCCAUUUUUCUAUUUAGUUUUUCUUAAUGAAAUUGAAAAUUUUAACUAAAGGGCAAAUACAAAUAAAAAAACAACUUUGCUGCCCACGAUAGAUUUUUAUCUAGGCAGAAGAGUCCUCUUAAUAUUUAUCUAGUCUUAUAUGGGUUUCGGUAUAUUGAAAUAUAAACAGAAAAGAGAGGGUAGAGGAUAGGCUCAUUACAUUAAAAAAAAUAUGGAAGUAGCCAUAGCAAAAAAA
This is a non-coding RNA of Oryza sativa Japonica Group (Japanese rice), 1716 nucleotides long. NCBI's taxonomy places the organism in Eukaryota, Viridiplantae, Streptophyta, Magnoliopsida, Poales, Poaceae. The record is from RefSeq and is a predicted model, not a curated record.